Molecule: non-coding RNA, 129 nt
Organism: Caenorhabditis elegans
Lineage: Eukaryota; Metazoa; Nematoda; Chromadorea; Rhabditida; Rhabditidae
Source: Ensembl
CUCUUUCAAAGCCUAACAAAAGUAUUGCGCUGAGAUUGAAGGAGGUGGGUGCCGGUGGAAACACUUGCUCGGUGUUUUUUGUAGAUUAGUGAAUGAGCAGGGAAGAAGUUGUCGUUCAAGCUAUGCACA